GGGGCAUGGCGGAGCUACACAUGCAAGUCGAGCGGAACGAGUUAUCUGAACCUUCGGGGAACGAUAACGGCGUCGAGCGGCGGACGGGUGAGUAAUGCCUAGGAAAUUGCCCUGAUGUGGGGGAUAACCAUUGGAAACGAUGGCUAAUACCGCAUGAUGCCUACGGGCCAAAGAGGGGGACCUUCGGGCCUCUCGCGUCAGGAUAUGCCUAGGUGGGAUUAGCUAGUUGGUGAGGUAAGGGCUCACCAAGGCGACGAUCCCUAGCUGGUCUGAGAGGAUGAUCAGCCACACUGGAACUGAGACACGGUCCAGACUCCUACGGGAGGCAGCAGUGGGGAAUAUUGCACAAUGGGCGCAAGCCUGAUGCAGCCAUGCCGCGUGUGUGAAGAAGGCCUUCGGGUUGUAAAGCACUUUCAGUCGUGAGGAAGGUGGUGUAGUUAAUAGCUGCAUCAUUUGACGUUAGCGACAGAAGAAGCACCGGCUAACUCCGUGCCAGCAGCCGCGGUAAUACGGAGGGUGCGAGCGUUAAUCGGAAUUACUGGGCGUAAAGCGCAUGCAGGUGGUUUGUUAAGUCAGAUGUGAAAGCCCGGGGCUCAACCUCGGAAUAGCAUUUGAAACUGGCAGACUAGAGUACUGUAGAGGGGGGUAGAAUUUCAGGUGUAGCGGUGAAAUGCGUAGAGAUCUGAAGGAAUACCGGUGGCGAAGGCGGCCCCCUGGACAGAUACUGACACUCAGAUGCGAAAGCGUGGGGAGCAAACAGGAUUAGAUACCCCGG
RNAcentral lists this ribosomal RNA (775 nucleotides) under Vibrio sp. RNAcentral's name for it is "bacterial SSU rRNA". It matches the Rfam family "Bacterial small subunit ribosomal RNA", at positions 39 to 790 of the family's 1533-position model. Lineage: Bacteria; Pseudomonadati; Pseudomonadota; Gammaproteobacteria; Vibrionales; Vibrionaceae. The record is from RNAcentral.